GGUAGCUCAGUGGUGGAACAUCUGCUUUGCAUGCAGAAGGUUCCAGGCUCAGUCCCUGGCAUCUCCA
Podarcis lilfordi (Lilford's wall lizard) is the source of this 67-nucleotide non-coding RNA. Lineage: Eukaryota; Metazoa; Chordata; Lepidosauria; Squamata; Lacertidae. The record is from the annotation of a GenBank genome assembly.